This 253-nucleotide ribosomal RNA is filed under the name uncultured bacterium. Its description in RNAcentral is "partial 16S ribosomal RNA". It matches the Rfam family "Bacterial small subunit ribosomal RNA", at positions 524 to 776 of the family's 1533-position model. The record is from RNAcentral.
UACGUAGGUGGCGAGCGUUGUCCGGAUUUACUGGGCGUAAAGAGCGCGCAGGCGGUCGUACAAGUCGCGUGUGAAAGCCCCCGGCUCAACUGGGGAGGGUCACGCGAUACUGUUCGACUCGAAGGCAGGAGAGGGAAGCGGAAUUCCCGGUGUAGUGGUGAAAUGCGUAGAUAUCGGGAGGAACACCAGUGGCGAAGGCGGCUUCCUGGCCUGUUCUUGACGCUGAGACGCGAAAGCGUGGGGAGCAAACAGG